Cryptotermes secundus is the source of this 1081-nucleotide long non-coding RNA. RefSeq lists it as uncharacterized. Lineage: Eukaryota; Metazoa; Arthropoda; Insecta; Blattodea; Kalotermitidae. The transcript has 3 exons. The record is from RefSeq and is a predicted model, not a curated record.
CAUAGGACGUUGUGAAAUUUGAUAGAUAGGAAUGGUUGUCUACGUUAUAGAAGUUGGAUAGUUGUGAGGAAUAUCAAGGUUUAUAUAUCAUGCAGUUUUGAAUGUGGGGAUAUUGUGUAAAGUGUGGAAAGUUAAUGUGGAAUGUGAAGGUUAAUAAGUAUUAGAAAUAGUUCGAUAUGUGAGAUAUCUUGAAACAUAGAAUCGCUCUUGGAUACAUAGUGAUAUGAUGCACCAGUUAAUCUAUCCGAGCUGUGCCAGAAUGUGGAGUGAGGCGAUGCUUCAACUGAAGAGAACGCCUCGGGUGCAGACUGAUAUUACCUGCGCCUUUAAAGUGUGGAAAGUUAAUGUGGAAUGUGAAGGUUAAUAAGUAUUAGAAAUAGUUCGAUAUGUGAGAUAUCUUGAAACAUAGAAUCGCUCUUGGAUACAUAGUGAUAUGAUGCACCAGUUAAUCUAUCCGAGCUGUGCCAGAAUGUGGAGUGAGGCGAUGCUUCAACUGAAGAGAACGCCUCGGGUGCAGACUGAUAUUACCUGCGCCUUUAAAGUGUGGAAAGUUAAUGUGGAAUGUGAAGGUUAAUAAGUAUUAGAAAUAGUUCGAUAUGUGAGAUAUCUUGAAACAUAGAAUCGCUCUUGGAUACAUAGUGAUAUGAUGCACCAGUUAAUCUAUCCGAGCUGUGCCAGAAUGUGGAGUGAGGCGAUGCUUCAACUGAAGAGAACGCCUCGGGUGCAGACUGAUAUUACCUGCGCCUUUAAGUGAAGAAUGUAGCUCUAGAUGAUAGCGACAGAUAAAUGAGAGUGGGUGCAGGAGGGAGGAGUGGAUUUGAUUCUACGUAUGUGGUAUGCACCUACUGUUCAGGAGAAUCCACAUCCUCUCAGAUAACAUGGGUCUGAAUAUCUGAGUUCCAUUUAUGUGCUUGCACCAUGAUCUGCAGUCAUGUUAAGAAGUUGGCUGCCCUGUCGCUGUGACCUAAAUAUCCGGUGUACGAAAUGAAGGUAUGUUUCUUACUAUGUAUGAAGAGGUGUUUAUAAAUAAUUAAAGGGUGUUAUGUGUGUAUGUUCAUAUACAUAUAUGUACAAGUUCUUA